This 402-nucleotide ribosomal RNA is filed under the name Triticum aestivum (bread wheat). Its description in RNAcentral is "partial small subunit ribosomal RNA". Lineage: Eukaryota; Viridiplantae; Streptophyta; Magnoliopsida; Poales; Poaceae. The record is from RNAcentral.
AUGAGUAUCCUCAGCUGGAACUGCCGGGGCCUGGGGCAGUCUCGGACAGUUCAAGAGUUGGUGUGCCUCGUGCAGACCUACCGCCCCCGGAUCGUCUUCUUAUCUGAAACAAGGCAAUGUGAGGACAAGGUAAAGGCAAUAAAAUGGAGACUAGGGCUGAAGCAUUGUCUUACCCAUGAUGGUAAAGGCAAAGGAGCCGGCAUUGCUUUGUACUGGGAUGAUUCAAUAAAUAUUAAGAUUUUGUCGUAUGGUCCACGUUAUUUGAUGUGCUUGUGUCUAAUGACCCCAAUGGCCCAAAGUGGCGGGGAACUUUUGUCUAUGGAGAGCCACGUGCACAAGACCGACACCACAUGUGGUCGCUUCUCAAGCGGAUUCGACCAAAUGCGAGUGAACCUUGGAUGA